UACGGAAUGUGCAAACGUUAUUCGGAAUCACUGGGCUUAAAGAGUCCGUAGGCGGCAUGUUAGGUGAGGUGUGAAAUCCCCCGGCCCAACCGAGGAAUUGCGCUUCAAACCGGCGUGCUUGAGGAAGAUAGAGGUGGGCGGAACUGAUGGUGGAGCGGUGAAAUGCGUUGAUAUCAUCAGGAACACCGGAGGCGAAAGCGGCCCACUGGGUCUUUUCUGACGCUGAGGGACGAAAGCUAGGGGAGCGAACGGG
This 253-nucleotide ribosomal RNA is filed under the name uncultured bacterium. Its description in RNAcentral is "partial 16S ribosomal RNA". It matches the Rfam family "Bacterial small subunit ribosomal RNA", at positions 524 to 776 of the family's 1533-position model. The record is from RNAcentral.